GGAGAGUGGUAGUAGUAUGGGGGAGGGGGUGAUUUCACUGGUGGAGGUGGAGAGUGGUAAUAGUAUGGAGGAGGUGGUGACUUCACGGGUGGAGGUGGAGAGGGGUAGUAGUAUGGGGGAGGGGGUGAUUUCACUGGUGGAGGUGGAGAAUGGUAAUAGUAUGGAGGAGGUGGUGACUUCACGGGUGGAGGUGGAGAGUGAUAGUAGUAUGGGGGAGGAGGAGACUUCACUGGUGGGGGUGGUGAGUGAUAGUAAUAUGGAGGAGGGGGUGAUUUUACCGGUGGAGGUGGAGAGUGGUAGUAGUAUGGAGGAGGAGGAGACUUCACGGGUGGAGGUGGAGAGUGGUAGUAGUACGGAGGAGGGGGAGACUUCACCGGUGGAGGUGGAGAGUGGUAGUAGUACGGAGGAGGAGGUGACUUCACGGGUGGAGGUGGAGAGUGAUAAUAGUACGGAGGAGGAGGUGACUUCACUGGUGGUGGUGGAGAGUGAUAAUAGUAUGGGGGAGGAGGUGACUUCACUGGUGGUGGUGGAGAGUGAUAGUAAUAUGGGGGAGGAGGUGAUUUCACUGGUGGAGGUGGAGAAUGGUAAUAGUAUGGAGGAGGUGGUGACUUUACUGGUGGUGGUGGAGAAGUGUAGUAGUAAGGAGCAGGUGUGGGCUCGGGUUUAGGCUUCUUACACUCCUCGUAAGGAGUUUUAGGAGCAUAAGCAAAUGGCUUAGCUUGAAGAACAACUUCAUACUUUGUCUUGGACUUAACCUUAAGCUCGGCACCCUUAUCACCCAUGUGUAGGUCAGUUGGG
This 798-nucleotide long non-coding RNA is filed under the name Jatropha curcas. RNAcentral describes it as "long non-coding RNA (JCUR_LNC000682)". The record is from RNAcentral. Lineage: Eukaryota; Viridiplantae; Streptophyta; Magnoliopsida; Malpighiales; Euphorbiaceae.